GUCUACGGCCAUACCACCCUGAACGUGCCUGGUCUCGUCUGGUAUCGGAAGCUAAGCAGGUUCGGGGCUGGUUAGUACUUGGACGAGAGACUGCCUGGGGACACCUGGUGCUAUAGGCA
This 119-nucleotide ribosomal RNA is filed under the name Pteropus alecto (black flying fox). The record is from RNAcentral. Lineage: Eukaryota; Metazoa; Chordata; Mammalia; Chiroptera; Pteropodidae.